AGGAUCCGAUGUAACUGGCGACGAAGUGGGACUAACCACGAUGGAGCAUCGGAACAUACGGCCGGUCGCCUGGGCAGAGAGC
RNAcentral lists this non-coding RNA (82 nucleotides) under Paenibacillaceae bacterium GAS479. RNAcentral's name for it is "ZMP/ZTP riboswitch aptamer (pfl RNA motif)". It matches the Rfam family "ZMP/ZTP riboswitch aptamer (pfl RNA motif)". Rfam says of the family: Previously known as pfl RNA. ZMP is also known as AICAR. Lineage: Bacteria; Bacillati; Bacillota; Bacilli; Caryophanales; Paenibacillaceae. RNAcentral also lists the same sequence under 1 other name. The record is from Rfam by way of RNAcentral.